GCCAGACUCCUACGGGAGGCAGCAGUGGGGGAUAUUGCACAAUGGGGGGAACCCUGAUGCAGCGACGCCGCGUGGGUGAAGGAGCGUUUCGGCGCGUAAAGCCCUAUCGGCAGGGAAGAAGGAGGACGGUACCUGACUAAGAAGCCCCGGCUAACUACGUGCCAGCAGCCGCGGUAAUACGUAGGGGGCAAGCGUUAUCCGGAUUUACUGGGUGUAAAGGGGGCGCAGACGGCAGCGCAAGCCAGGAGUGAAAGCCCGGGGCCCAACCCCGGGACUGCUCUUGGAACUGCGCGGCUGGAGUGCAGGAGGGGCAGGCGGAAUUCCUGGUGUAGCGGUGAAAUGCGUAGAUAUCAGGAGGAACACCGGUGGCGAAGGCGGCCUGCUGGACUGCGACUGACGUUGAGGCCCGAAAGCGUGGGGAGCAAACAGGAUUAGAUACCCUCGUAUC
This 448-nucleotide ribosomal RNA is filed under the name uncultured bacterium. RNAcentral describes it as "partial 16S ribosomal RNA". It matches the Rfam family "Bacterial small subunit ribosomal RNA", at positions 330 to 794 of the family's 1533-position model. The record is from RNAcentral.